GGCCACAGCCGUAUCACCCUGCCGCCCAAGACCGGUUACUCACUGAAGCUAAGCAGGGCUGAGCCUGGUUAUUACCUGGAUGGGAGACCACUAGGGAACAGUAGUUUCUGUUGGAA
Molecule: ribosomal RNA, 116 nt
Organism: Danio rerio (zebrafish)
Lineage: Eukaryota; Metazoa; Chordata; Actinopteri; Cypriniformes; Danionidae
Source: Ensembl